RNAcentral lists this long non-coding RNA (216 nucleotides) under Helianthus annuus (common sunflower). Its description in RNAcentral is "hypothetical non coding rna". Lineage: Eukaryota; Viridiplantae; Streptophyta; Magnoliopsida; Asterales; Asteraceae. The record is from RNAcentral.
AAUAAGGAUCUUCUCCGAUGACAUUCGGAUCGCCAAACGGAUCAGGCCAGCGGAAGAACAUAAGAGGGCUCUGUAAACGGCGUUAUCGUGAGGAAGAAUGUCGGUGCCGUCGAUACUACCGGCUUGGAUAGGGUGAUAGGAGUGUGCGUAGAAGACAGAGUUCAGUUUGCUGCUGUUGUUCAUGGUGUUCGUCUGUAUGAAGCGAUCAGGGUGUGU